Molecule: ribosomal RNA, 419 nt
Filed under: uncultured bacterium
Lineage: Bacteria
Description: bacterial SSU rRNA
Rfam family: Bacterial small subunit ribosomal RNA
Source: RNAcentral
GGAAUAUUGGACAAUGGAAGGAAUUCUGAUCCAGCCAUGCCGCGUGCGGGAGGACGGCCCUAUGGGUUGUAAACCGCUUUUGUGUGGGAGCAAUAAGGUGUACGCGUACACCGACGAGAGUACCAUACGAAUAAGCAUCGGCUAACUCCGUGCCAGCAGCCGCGGUAAUACGGAGGAUGCGAGCGUUAUCCGGAUUUAUUGGGUUUAAAGGGUGCGUAGGCGGGUGAUUAAGCGUGAGGUGAAAUGCCACGGCUCAACCGUGGAACUGCCUCGCGAACUGGUCGUCUGGAAUGCUCCUGCCGUGGGAGGAAUGGGUAGUGUAGCGGUGAAAUGCAUAGAUAUUACCCAGAACACCGAUUGCGAAGGCAUCUCACGAAGGGGUGAUUGACGCUGAUGCACGAAAGCGUGGGGAUCGAACA